RNAcentral lists this ribosomal RNA (513 nucleotides) under uncultured marine eukaryote. RNAcentral's name for it is "SSU rRNA". It matches the Rfam family "Eukaryotic small subunit ribosomal RNA", at positions 1 to 520 of the family's 1831-position model. The record is from RNAcentral.
AACCUGGUUGAUCCUGCCAGUAGUCAUAUGCUUGUCUCAAAGACUAAGCCAUGCAUGUCUAAGUAUAAAUGCUAUACAAUGAAACUGCGAAUGGCUCAUUAAAACAGUUAUAGUUUAUAUGGUAAUCGAAUUUACAUGGAUAACCGUGGUAAUUCUAGAGCUAAUACAUGCUGUUAAGCCCAACUUAUGGAAGGGCCGUAUUUAUUAGAUAACAGACCAAUAUUCUUCGUGUCUAUUGUGGUGAAUCAUAGUAACUAAUCGGAGCGUAUGGGCUAGUCCCUCGACAAACCAUUCAAGUUUCUGCCCCAUCAGCUUUCGAUGGUAGUGUAUUGGACUACCAUGGCUUUCACGGGUAACGGAGGAUUAGGGUUCGAUUCCGGAGAGGGAGCCUGAGAAACGGCUACCACAUCUAAGGAAGGCAGCAGGCGCGUAAAAUUACCCAAUUCUGACUCAGAGAGGUAGUGACAAGAAAUAAACGGGCAGGGACAUACCGUCCCUGGACUGCAAUGAACC